GCGGCCGUGGUGGAAAUGGCAGACACACGCGCUUGAGGGGCGCGCGCCUCGUGCAUCCGAGUUCAAGUCUCGGCGGCCGCACCA
This 84-nucleotide transfer RNA is filed under the name Bradyrhizobium sp. Its description in RNAcentral is "tRNA-Leu(gag)". The record is from RNAcentral. Lineage: Bacteria; Pseudomonadati; Pseudomonadota; Alphaproteobacteria; Hyphomicrobiales; Nitrobacteraceae. RNAcentral also lists the same sequence under 4 other names.